CACGCAGUAAACGAUGAAUACCAGUUCUCCGCCGCGAUCGAGCGGAGGGGGACACAGCGAAAGCGUUAAGUAUUCCACCUGGGGAGUACGCCGGCAACGGUGAAACUCAAAGGAAUUGACGGGGGCCCGCACAAGCGGAGGAACAUGUGGUUUAAUUCGAUGAUACGCGAGGAACCUUACCCGGGCUCGAACGGUGCAGGAAUACAGGAGAGAUUCUGUAGCAUAGCAAUAUGUCUGCAUCGAGGUGC
Molecule: ribosomal RNA, 248 nt
Filed under: uncultured bacterium
Lineage: Bacteria
Description: partial 16S ribosomal RNA
Rfam family: Bacterial small subunit ribosomal RNA
Source: RNAcentral